UUCCACCUCAUUCUUUAAUAACAGCUUCCCUUUGAGACUUAUUCUAGGCUAGAUAAGUACAUUGCAGAUCUUGGCGUUCAAAGAGACGGUGAAUUUGUUCUCAGGAAGCAACGGACGGCAUCUACAAGCAAACUUGGGAGCUGUUCAACCACAAAGAUCGGUCUAAGAGUUUCGUCGACGAGGUCCUAACCGGAGUGAAGAGGAUUCUCACGGAGAAGUUUGUGUUCGUGACAUGUGACGUCGAGUUCAUAAUCGCCGCAGAGAGAUUAGGCGGUGAGAGGAAGUUCAACUAUGGGCACGAGUGCUUCUACCCACAAGGGGCGGCAUUUCCCGUGCCCUCAGGGGCACCCUACAGGGAGAUCUUCAGUAAAUUGACGCUGAGGCUGGUCGAAGGAGGUUUUUACAAAAAGUGGGAAGCUGACGCCAUCCGGAAUUACACCAGAGGAGGCGAAGUCGAAGCUGUGGAGAUGUCCGAGACGAGUGCUCUCACCCUUACCCACCUUCAGGCGGCCUUCUUCUUGGUAGGACUCGGCAUCGCAAUUUCGACCGUUGUCUUUUGGCUGGAAUUCGUCACAACAAGCCUUCAGAAGAGGAGGAAUUAGUCCACUGGAGUUUCUAAGGUAGAAUAAUCCCCCAAAAGACGUGCGAGAAGAUUUUGAUUCCGAGAUAUGGAUAUUUAUGAUGAUUGCUGCCUUACAUAAUGAUGUUUCUGUUUCUUAUUUGCUGGUAUAUUUGUUUUAGUAUCUUUAUUACAUGCGUUUAUUUAACUUAACUUCCACAUCUGUCUGUCUGUUUGGGUCAAAUCUUGUAACCCAAUUUUCGACCUGUUCCCUUCCUCUGAUGAUCUUAAAAUUUCGUGAGGUUACUCAAUCCCAGUGACACUACAACCUUACAUGAUCAGUAGGUCAGCAGUGACUUCUAGUGACCCUACAGUGACCUCUCCCUGUAUCUCAGGAUUUGUAUGAAAGUCUUCGGAUUUUUUAUACCUUCUUUGACUUUGUAGACUAUGUUAAUAAAUCUAUGUGUUUUUCAAGCCUUCUUUGGCUGGAAAGGUCAUC
Long non-coding RNA from Macrobrachium nipponense, 1058 nucleotides. RefSeq lists it as uncharacterized. NCBI's taxonomy places the organism in Eukaryota, Metazoa, Arthropoda, Malacostraca, Decapoda, Palaemonidae. The transcript is spliced from 4 exons. The record is from RefSeq and is a predicted model, not a curated record.